GGACGGCCCACCGCGGCCCUGCCCAGCUUCCAGCCACAAGGUCUCUGGCUGAUGAGUAGGCGGUGGUGACACCCUGAUGGCCCAGAGGCCGGAGCCCACUCAGUCACCCGGUCUGUGCACGGGCCUGUGUGUGUCCCUCCCCACAGGAGGGCUCGCAAAUUAAGGGACUCCGGCUGGAGGAGGGCUGAAGGGGAGCCCUGUGCUUCUGUUUGUCGAGACUUUGCCCAUACCAUCGCAGCUCCAGCCCAGCUCUGUGGGAACAGCCUGUAAUAAAAAUAGAAAUUAUUGCUAAUCAGGAAAAUCCUCCCAGCCCAGCCAUGCUCUUCAGCUACAAAACACCUCUGUUUUCUGGUAUUAACCUUCUCUACUGCUACCCUCCAGUGUUUGCAGCCUCUAUUCUGUAAGCAGGGAAACUGAGGUCCAGAGAGGCGAAGCAACGAGCUGAAAGCUACUGUGAGGGGCAGAGAUGAAGCCAAGGUAAGGUCAUUGCCAGAUCUGUUCUAGUGGGAGGUUGCAGAGAAGUCACUGAGGGCUUCCUGGAGGAGGUGGCAAGAAAUCUAAAGGAAGGAGGACUCAGAUCAGGAGAUAAAAAAGGUGAGGACAAUUCUGGCAGAGAGAAACAUGUGAAGCUUGAAGUUGGGGAUAUUUCAGCCACAUUCGUUCGUUCCACAAACGCAUUGACAUCUGCUGUGUGCCAUGUCCUCUGCAGGAGGCUGGGGACACACAGAGGACAAGCCAGAUCGGGCUCCUCCCUAGUGGGGAGCCCACCUACAUAAUCGUCCCAAGGGACCGGCAGCAGUGGGAGCUCCAAGAGGGUGCCUGACUCAGCUUGGGGCAUCAGGGGGAGUCUGGGGAGGGUUCUUAGAAGAGGAGGGAACACAGAGCUAUGACCAGGAAGGUGAAGAGACCACAGUCAGAUAAAGGCAUUCUAGCUAGAGAAACAGGAUGUGCAAAGGCCCUGAGACAAAAGUGUGUCUGGUCUGCUGGACAGAUUGAUCUCAGGGUAGAGAGAUCUUGGGGCUCAGGAGAACGGGUACCAGGUGGUCCAGGGCUUGGGCUGUCUCCUGAGGGCAAUGGGGAACCGCAGAGCAUGCGUGAGGAGUGGUGGGUCUAGAGGGGGCGCUGAACAGAAGGAGCCAAUCCCAACCUGGGCACUUCUAGUGAAGCCUGUCCCCUGAUGCCUGUGGCAGGGCCGUGAGCUCACCUCCUGUUUCCCUUGGCAUUCGGCACCCCUGGGGGCCGCUCCUGGCUGGUGCUGGGGUUCUUGGGAAAACCACGGCUCCAGGAGGGCCUCUGGGCUUGCGUGUGCCUCAUGCAGCUAGGACAAGGGCACAUGGAAGCCAAGCCCCUGCCACAGGCUUGGCAUGGGGCUAGAAGUGUGGACACACAUGGCCUUGUUCAUGGCUGGGCCAUGAGGAGUUGUGAAGAAGAACAUUCUAGGCAGAGGGAAUGGCGAAGGCGGCAGUCCUGAGGAUGUCCCAGUCUGCGGAUCAGACAACAGAGGCCUGGAGCCAGGCACUCUGGUUUCAUGUUCCUGCUUUCUGGAUCCCAUUAGCUCUGAAAUCCCACUUCUAGGCAGCAGCCCCCUCCACCCUUGCACACCUUGGCAGCCUCUCAUUACACACUUACUCACUCUGGGUGAACUUCCAGCCCUUGUACCUGCUGUUCCCCACCAUCCCAAAUACCUUCCUCCUUCCUCCAAGAUCUGGCUCUGAUGCCCCCUCCUUCAGGAAGCCCUCCCUGCUCUUCUUGGGCAGGGCUUAGGGGCUGUGCGACAUUCCCCUAAGAUGCCAGAAUAUUUCUGGCAGAGACAGGAUGACCUCACCCGGGGGACUGGGGAUGUCUGUGUUUUGUUCUGUUCCCCUUUCCCGGGUCCCCCCUGGGCCUGCAGAGAGCCCUGCCCCGAUGAGUGUCACAUGGUUCUUAGUUCUUAUAAUUCAUGUACCAUCGUUACUAUUAAUAAUAGUAACCCCUGCUACCGCUGUGCUUUAUGACAGACUCAGGAGCCGCAUGGCCUGGGUUCAAGUGUCAGCUGGGCAUAGCCUCACUGUGUGACCUAAGGCAAGUUGCUUGACCUCUCUGUGUCUCAAUCGCCUCACCUAGAAAGUGGGAGUGAUCACUGCUGAGAGGACUGGAUGAGCUCAGCGUCUACCUCCAGUGUUAGCCUCAUUAUACAAUAUGGAACUUAUACACGAUGUCGGUUAUACCUCAGGCCGUUUUUACUCACAUUUUCCUCAGAGAGGGAAUGAGACAGCUCAAGGUCACACAGCCAGGAUUAGACCUGGAGAAGGCAGGACCCCUGAGGCCUUCACACCACCCCUCUCUGCCCUUGGCCACAGAUUGCAGGGGAGAAACGCUAACCCAGGCCCCUCAUUAGCUGUGAAGACUGCUGCCUGGGACCUCCUGGCCUGAGCCCUUGGCUGGCGCCCCAGCCAGCCCCCCUUCCCACCACGCUAGACCCAGCGGUUCCAGGAGCCUGGCCAGACUCGGGCAGAGGGGCUGGUGCCUGUGUGAUGAGGCCUCGGAGCCCUCCCUGGCAGAGUUCUGCUGGGCCAGGAGACAUGUGGGCGCCCCCCGCUUGCCCAGCCGCCUCUCCUGUGAAUCCAGAGGGAAAGUAUGUCGGGAAGGCAGCCGCCCUGCCCUGGGCGGGCCCAGCCACAGGCUCAGGGUCUGGGGAAUUCAUUAGAGCAGCGAGGGAGGCCACUUAGCCACUGCUGGAUCUGCGGCUGAGGAGCCUGACCCAGCCUGCCUUGGACGGCCCGGCUGGACCCUGCUCUCCAGAAGGACCAAGCAGUGGGGUGAGGGGCAGUGGGGCAGAAAGGGUGCCAUCCGGGCACUGGAAUCUGGCAGAACCCCCCGACUUGCUCUGUGAGUUCUGGCAAGCCCUGACUCUUUCCCCAUCCUUCAUUUGCUCUGACUGUGUCGUCAUUUGCCUCAGGCUCUCCAAAAGGUAUGAUAAAGAAGAAAAUAACAAUAAAUAUAAUGGCUACAAUUUUAUUGAGCAAGUGCCAAAUGCUCGAAAACUUGCCACAUCACUUUUGUGGGUUUUCCCUUUUUGUCCCCUCUCCUCACGGCGCCACGGGGCAGGAACUGACCAUCAUGGGAGACAGCAGGAGACUGCCAGGAAGUCUUGGUCUCUGGCACCAGGAGCCUGAGUUUCAUAUCCCACCUCUGCUGUGCAGCUUCAGACAAGUUGCUUAACAUCUCUGUGCCUCUUUUCUUUUUUUCUUUUUUAUGGGGUAGGGGAGGGUACCUUCAAAGGUAGAUUUACUUUUAAUAAUAAUGUAGAUUUUUGCUUCUCCAGUUUAGAGAAUGGACUGCAGAGUUGCCUCAGGGGAGAAAGGACUUCACUAGGAACCAGCUGGAAUUUAAUGAUGUGGCAUUCAAUGGGCAUUGACUUCUGAGAAUGGUUUUACAUCACUAUUAUCUUCAGAAUUUUCCAGGGAUAACUGUGGCUGGACAAAUGACCACUUUACUUUUUCCUCCUCUCCUCUCACAUUUAAUGAGAGUUUUGUAGGUAACAGUAAAACAAACCAGUGUCUGUGUUGCAAUAAGAGAGACUGCCUACGGGCUCACUAUAGAAGUUUUCUUCUCUCCCUCAGUCUGUCUGUGUUUCUCUCUGUCUAAUGAAGUGAAACAUGAAAACGUCUAAAGUUGUUUGCAGUUUAUCAGCAGCACUAAAAACCCAAGUGAAACGAGGACGAUGAGAGCCCCAACCUCUGAGGCUCAUCAUAAAGCCCGAAUACAUUAAUUCGUGAAAACUACACUCGGCACUUUUUUUUUAGAGAACUUCAUCCACUGCCCAAGCAGAUGGGACGAUGGUGGUCUGAGCCUCUGCGCCUGGCGGUAGGUGACCUUGGAGGUGGACAAGUGCAUACCAGCUGCGGCAGGAGCCCCGGAGUCAGGGAGACCACUCUGCCAGGGAAUGUUAGUGUUGAGACCUGAACAGACAGGAAGUUCCCGUGAAUCCAGGCAUCCCAGGACCACAGAACAGGACGUACAGAACAGGGGGUCACAGAACCAAGGUCACAGCGCUGCGUCACGGCACUGUGAGUUAAUGGAACCGUGGAACCGCAGCAUGCUCCAGCCGUGGCACUGUGGGAUCCUAGGGCCACGGGACCACAGUGCCAGAAGCCCACAGACUCAGGGGAUGUGGCCACUAUCAACAGGAGCUCAGAACCGUGGGAUGGCAGAAGCCACAGAAUCCUAGGGGGCCUGAGACACAGCACCCAGAAAUCCCACUUGGGAGGUGCCAUAAGAUGGAGUCUCAGAACUGAGCCCAUCAGAAACACCGUCUCAGCUCCACCUUCACCUGUUGGCUGGCCAGCGAGUCUCUCAGAGGCCACGGGAGCUCGGAGGCACUCUCUCUCCAUCCCUGGGGCAGCCACCGGAGAGAAGGACCAUGCUGUCAUCAAGGCCUGGAGCCAGCCAGCCGCCAAACACUCAGCGAGUCCCCUGUUGCCAGGGCCAAGUGAGGCUGUCCGGGUGCCGAGAAACAGUGCCAGCCUCCGGCCAGGCGCGCCGGGACGCCGAGUGCUCAGCAGCAAGUGGAAAAAGAAUCAACGGGUUCCUUCUACAUCCACAUCCUCUUAAAAGCCAACAGAAACAUGACUCGGAGGGGAGGUUGUACCCUGGCUGCAUUGCCUCCGGAUGGCGGCAACGGGAAGCAGCCCCCCAGCACUGCCUCCGCCCACGCCAGGAGUCACAGCCCGGCUCAGGUUGCACCAGACACAUCCGCGUACUAAUGAACUCUCCAGGGACUGUUCACCCAGCAGACCUGACACCUGAUGCUCAGAAUAACCAAUCUGUUUUGGAGAGGGGAGACUGAGGCCCAGAAGUGAAGACUCCUGGCCCAGAUCACGAGGGUGAGAGCUGAGACCCAAACCCAAGCAUGAUGGAUGCUAAGAGUGAGCUUGCCACCACCCAAACGGGCUUGCUCUCGGGCUUCCCCAGCCCCAUCCUGUUUCUAAAUGUGAUCCAGCAUGGAAGGUGGGAGGCUGGGCUUCGGCAAUUCCUUCCCUUUGCCGAACCCAGAUCCUCUUGUUCACGGGGCUGCCAUGGGGACGAAACAUGAUCGUGGUGAGUGCUCACUGGAACCUGGUAUUGCUGUCAUGAAAGGACUU
Long non-coding RNA from Odocoileus virginianus texanus, 5123 nucleotides. RefSeq lists it as uncharacterized. The record is from RefSeq and is a predicted model, not a curated record. NCBI's taxonomy places the organism in Eukaryota, Metazoa, Chordata, Mammalia, Artiodactyla, Cervidae.